CGAAGAUAGGUUACGGACAUCUCCACACCAAUCCACAACACUCUUUUAAUACUUAGUUGUUGUACUAAUACACUGAGGAAUCCUAGUCUCUGAUACCAAUUUUUGUCAACCCAAUUUCUCAAGUUAUGAUGAUGUCUACCAUAACCCACAAGUAGGCAAGCCAACCUGUAGAGUAUAAUACAGGAGAAAAUCCCAAAAGUGGGUCAUCACAUGCUUUCAACCCAAAGAACUCCAACG
RNAcentral lists this long non-coding RNA (237 nucleotides) under Capsicum annuum. RNAcentral's name for it is "long non-coding RNA (CANN_LNC011221)". The record is from RNAcentral. Lineage: Eukaryota; Viridiplantae; Streptophyta; Magnoliopsida; Solanales; Solanaceae.